AGUGAACGCUGGCGGUAGGCCUAACACAUGCAAGUCGAACGGCAGCACAGUAAGGGCUUGCUCUUACGGGUGGCGAGUGGCGGACGGGUGCGGAAUACAUCGGAAUCUACUUUUUCGUGGGGGAUAACGUAGGGAAACUUACGCUAAUACCGCAUACGACCUACGGGUGAAAGCAGGGGAUCUUCGGACCUUGCGCGAUUGAAUGAGCCGAUGUCGGAUUAGGUAGUUGGCGGGGUAAAGGCCCACCAAGGCGACGGUCCGUAGCUGGUCUGAGAGGAUGAUCAGCCACCCUGGAACUGAGACACGGUCCAGACCCCUACGGGAGGCAGCAGUGGGGAAUAUUGGACCAUGGGCGCAAGCCUGAUCCAGCCAUACCGCGUGGGUGAAGAAGGCCUUCGGGUUGUAAAGCCCUUUUGUUGGGAAAGAAAAGCAGCAGGUUAAUACCCCGCUGUUCUGACGGUACCCAAAGAAUAAGCACCGGCUAACUUCGUG
Molecule: ribosomal RNA, 492 nt
Filed under: uncultured bacterium
Lineage: Bacteria
Description: partial 16S ribosomal RNA
Rfam family: Bacterial small subunit ribosomal RNA
Source: RNAcentral